GGUCCCUCCUUGAACCCGAGGCGGGGUGGGACGGCUGAUCAGUGCGGGAAGCUCCCGGUUCCCUGCGGCUCCGGUCCCGGCGCUGGCGCUCUGGGGCUCCCGCGGGGUGCGGAGCGGGCUCCCGCCGUGGCGGUCACUGGGCUCUCGCGGGCCGGCCUCCAGCUAGUGAGCCCGCUGUGCCAGGACGUCUGCAGGCCGCCAUCGCCUGUCCGUGGGCUGCUCUCCGCAGAGGGGUGCGGCUGCAGCCCGAAGCGGGGCCCAGGCACCGCCGUUGGGGAGGGGAGGUGGCGGUUCUGAGCUCGGGGGAGCCGCCUGGACCUCUACACCCAUCUUCUCCAGCCUCACCACCGCCCCACCCCGCCCCGACCAUGCCCUGCAGCAUUCUAGCAAAAUCCUGGAGAUAACAACCCCACGAGGAUGAGAAGCCUCCUGUCCUGGAUAAACCGAGUUCCUGGAACCUGACCAUGUCAACCUGAGUAAAUGCAUCAGGGCAAUCCAAGUCU
Bubalus bubalis (water buffalo) is the source of this 503-nucleotide long non-coding RNA. RefSeq lists it as uncharacterized. The transcript is spliced from 2 exons. The record is from RefSeq and is a predicted model, not a curated record. NCBI's taxonomy places the organism in Eukaryota, Metazoa, Chordata, Mammalia, Artiodactyla, Bovidae.